AGUGAACGCUGGCGGUAGGCCUAACACAUGCAAGUCGAACGGCAGCACAGUAAGAGCUUGCUCUUACGGGUGGCGAGUGGCGGACGGGUGAGGAAUACAUCGGAAUCUACUUUUUCGUGGGGGAUAACGUAGGGAAACUUACGCUAAUACCGCAUACGACCUACGGGUGAAAGCAGGGGAGAUUCGGACCUUGCGCGAUUGAAUGAGCCGAUGUCGGAUUAGCUAGUUGGCGGGGUAAAGGCCCACCAAGGCGACGAUCCGUAGCUGGUCUGAGAGGAUGAUCAGCCACACUGGAACUGAGACACGGUCCAGACUCCUACGGGAGGCAGCAGUGGGGAAUAUUGGACAAUGGGCGCAAGCCUGAUCCAGCCAUACCGCGUGGGUGAAGAAGGCCUUCGGGUUGUAAAGCCCUUUUGUUGGGAAAGAAAAGCAGCAGGUUAAUCCCCCGCUGUUCUGACGGUACCCAAAGAAUAAGCACCGGCUAACUUCGUG
RNAcentral lists this ribosomal RNA (492 nucleotides) under uncultured bacterium. RNAcentral's name for it is "partial 16S ribosomal RNA". It matches the Rfam family "Bacterial small subunit ribosomal RNA", at positions 29 to 507 of the family's 1533-position model. The record is from RNAcentral.